This 531-nucleotide ribosomal RNA is filed under the name uncultured bacterium DGGE band PSBAC-13. RNAcentral describes it as "bacterial SSU rRNA". It matches the Rfam family "Bacterial small subunit ribosomal RNA", at positions 380 to 902 of the family's 1533-position model. The record is from RNAcentral.
AGCCUGAUCCAGCGAUCCGGGGUGCGGGAUGAAGGCCUUCGGGUUGUAAACCGCUUUUGUAAGGGAAGAAAUCGCUUGGGUUAAUACCCAGGGGGGAUGACGGUACCUGAAGAAUAAGCACCGGCUAACUACGUGCCAGCAGCCGCGGUAAUACGUAAGGUGCGAGCGUUAAUCGGAAUUACUGGGCGUAAAGCGUGCGCAGGCGGUUAUAUAAGACAGAUGUGAAAUCCCCGGGCUCAACCUGGGAACUGCAUUUGUGACUGUAAGGCUGGAGUACGGUAGAGGGGGGUGGAAUUCCCCGUGUAGCAGUGAAAUGCGUAGAAAUGCGGAGGAACACCGAUGGCGAAGGCAGCCCCCUGGACCUGUACUGACGCUCAUGCACGAAAACGUGGGGAGCAAACAGGAUUAGAUACCCUGGUAGUCCACGCCCUAAACGAUGUCCACUGGUUGUUGGGUGGGUUUCAACCNGUUAACGCACCCUAACGCGUGUUGUUGACGCCCUGGGGGAGUACGGCCGCAAGGUUGAUACUC